UAUGUGCACUAGUUUUAUUGUUUUGUCUCUGUUAAAUAAAGUUGAUGAUAUUUUAGUAUAUUUGUUCUUGUGAUCCAAAUUAUUUGUCUCUCUGAAGUAGCAGUCAGCAGGUUAGUCUGUUAUUUUCCUUUGUAUUUUAUGUAUUAAUUUUUUAUUUGUAUUUUUGCUAGCUAAUUUGCAACUUUAUUUUGCUUUAAAGUGUCUAUUUUUUAUUUUUUUAAAUGCAAUUUUUUUUUCAUUUACUCAAUGAAUUUAUUACAUUUGUAGUUGUACAAUGAUCAUCACAAUCUAGUUUUACCUUACUUUUCCCCCUCUUCCUUCCUACACUAUGUCCCUGGAGGGCACAGACUGUUAACUUUAUAAACUAGUACCAAGCAUGGAGCUGGACACAUAUAGAUAUUGAAUACAAGCCGGUGGCUACAGCUCCAAUUCGACCCCUAGCCUGGGAGCCUCCAUAUGCCACAGGAGCGGCCCUUGAAAUGGCAAAAAGACCAAAAAAAAAAAAAAAUUCUUAGGGGUUCAGACCAAAUUAGAGAGAAAAACUCAAGAUUAAAUACCUCCAGUAUCUUGAAGAAAGCUGACUCGAAAGCGUUACUGCAUAUGGGUUGACAGAUGAGGACCACAAGAAAACAACGUUCAGUGGAAGGCCUAUGGAAGACAGUAGUGAUGAAAUUUUUUCUUCCUUUCCUGAGUUAUCUUUCUUUUUAUCAUCUAAAUCAGGAGUGAAGGCCUGCUUCCCAGCUCAGAGAGAAUUCUUUGGCCUAUUAAGAGAGGUCAGCAGUUUGUGUUUGUUUCCAGCAUGUAGGAUUCAGAAGUUUUCAUGUAAAAUCAGACUUGUCAUUGCUGCCGUUCCUAAUAAGGGCAUUAUUGCCAGAACCCCACCUUGCCUGCCUUAGCACCUCUUCCCUCCAUGUCCACAUUCAGUUACUUUGCCCCUCUGGCUCCGAUAGGUAUUUGAGUUCAUUACUUUUUUUUUUUGGAUGAUUAAAUGGUGUAUUUGUUUAAUGAUUAUGUGAAUGGGACAAAACCACAUUGUGAGAAACUGAGGGUCAUUGGCCCACUAGCCUAUGCAUUUGGGCAUUUAGAAUCUAGAUUAACUCUAAGACUGAGAGACAAAGAUUAGCACAAUGAACUGAAUUUUAUGUGCAAUGUGCUUUGUAGUGUAUGUUAAAUAAUAUUGCUUUAUGGUUUCCAAAAAGUAGUUCAUGAAGAUAGUUUAGGAGGAAUAUUUUUUCUCUCCUUCAUAGCCC
This 1250-nucleotide long non-coding RNA is filed under the name Sus scrofa (pig). RNAcentral's name for it is "lncRNA (ENSSSCG00060024400.1)". Lineage: Eukaryota; Metazoa; Chordata; Mammalia; Artiodactyla; Suidae. The record is from RNAcentral.